RNAcentral lists this ribosomal RNA (439 nucleotides) under uncultured bacterium. Its description in RNAcentral is "bacterial SSU rRNA". It matches the Rfam family "Bacterial small subunit ribosomal RNA", at positions 959 to 1397 of the family's 1533-position model. The record is from RNAcentral.
ACGCGUGGAACCUUACCAGGUCUUGACAUCCUCUGACACUCCUAGAGAUAGGACGUUCCCCUUCGGGGGACAGAGUGACAGGUGGUGCAUGGUUGUCGUCAGCUCGUGUCGUGAGAUGUUGGGUUAAGUCCCGCAACGAGCGCAACCCUUGAUCUUAGUUGCCAGCAUUAAGUUGGGCACUCUAAGGAGACUGCCGGUGACAAACCGGAGGAAGGUGGGGAUGACGUCAAAUCAUCAUGCCCCUUAUGACCUGGGCUACACACGUGCUACAAUGGACGGUACAAACGGUUGCCAACCCGCGAGGGGGAGCUAAUCCGAUAAAACCGUUCUCAGUUCGGAUUGUAGGCUGCAACUCGCCUACAUGAAGCCGGAAUCGCUAGUAAUCGCGGAUCAGCAUGCCGCGGUGAAUACGUUCCCGGGCCUUGCACUCACUGCCCGU